UACGGAGGGUGCAAGCGUUAUCCGGAUUCACUGGGUUUAAAGGGUGCGUAGGUGGGUUGGUAAGUCAGUGGUGAAAUCCCCGAGCUUAACUUGGGAACUGCCAUUGAUACUAUCAGUCUUGAAUACCGUGGAGGUCAGCGGAAUAUGUCAUGUAGCGGUGAAAUGCUUAGAUAUGACAUAGAACACCAAUUGCGAAGGCAGCUUACUACGCAUAUAUUGACGCUGAGGCACGAAAGCGUGGGGAUCAAACAGG
RNAcentral lists this ribosomal RNA (253 nucleotides) under uncultured bacterium. RNAcentral's name for it is "partial 16S ribosomal RNA". It matches the Rfam family "Bacterial small subunit ribosomal RNA", at positions 524 to 776 of the family's 1533-position model. The record is from RNAcentral.